This 397-nucleotide ribosomal RNA is filed under the name uncultured bacterium. RNAcentral's name for it is "partial 16S ribosomal RNA". It matches the Rfam family "Bacterial small subunit ribosomal RNA", at positions 360 to 774 of the family's 1533-position model. The record is from RNAcentral.
AAUCUUGCGCAAUGGGCGAAAGCCUGACGCAGCCAUGCCGCGUGAAUGAUGACGGUCUUAGGAUUGUAAAAUUCUUUCACCGGGGACGAUAAUGACGGUACCCGGAGCAGAAGCCCCGGCUAACUUCGUGCCAGCAGCCGCGGUACUACGAAGGGGGCUAGCGUUGCCCGGAAUUACUGGGCGUAAAGGGCGCGUAGGCGGAUCGUUAAGUCAGGGGUGAAAUCCCGGGGCUCAACCUCGGAACUGCCCUUGAUACUGGCGAUCUUGAGUAUGAGAGAGGUAUGGGGAACUCCGGGUGUAGAGGUGAAAUUCGUAGAUAUUCGGAAGAACACCAGUGGCGAAGGCGACAUACUGGCUCAUUACUGACGCUGAGGCGCGAAAGCGUGGGGAGCGAACA